UAUACUGCAAUAUACUACAAUUUAUACUGCAAUACAUUAGAAAAUAUAUCACAAUAUAUCACAAACACGCUCAUAUAUUUGAAAAUAUAUAGCAAUAUAUUAUUGAACAACAUAUUACUAUAUAUUGAUCCAUAUAUUUUAAAAUAUAUGGCUGGCAAAACAAAACUGUAUUCCACUAUUCAGUCUGUAUUUCUUGAUGUUUUUAGUUCAGCAAGCACAUUUUGCACGACAUUGGACAUUUACUCGACAUUAUAAAGUCAUUUUAGGUGGACCAUAUAUGGCCAUAUAUAAUAAUAUAUUGAUCAAUAUACAGGAGUCUCUGAUUGAAUCAUCUCAGCUCUCAUAUCACGUAUGACGCGCCUACGUCACGUCGUCACAACCUGAAGCUAAAGUGGCGAGAGAGCCGUCUCGGCUCGAGCGCGGUCCGGAUUUUAGCUCCACACUCCACUGUCGCCAGCCAGACUCCCCACCACAGUGACACAAACCAACCAGCCGCCUCGAGAGGUUGCUGAAGAGGUAUGCAGCGAUGGUCUGGAGGAAAAAAUAGUCACAUGGACUGGUGUGCAUUCCAGUACUUGAAAUGAUGCUGUUGCUCAGGCACAUCCAGGUGCGAGGAUGGGGGAGAUCCGGAUGUCGCUAAAUAAAA
This is a long non-coding RNA of Engraulis encrasicolus (European anchovy), 646 nucleotides long. RefSeq lists it as uncharacterized. The record is from RefSeq and is a predicted model, not a curated record. Lineage: Eukaryota; Metazoa; Chordata; Actinopteri; Clupeiformes; Engraulidae. The transcript is spliced from 3 exons.